GCAUCUAGCUGCCCUGAUCUUUCUGCAAUUGUGUUUUUUCCCCACUGACUUAACACUGUGGGACUGGAGAAAUGUUUCCUUAAUUUGCCGCAAUUGGCAUUUAGCCCAGCUCCAACCAGUUGGAAGGUGAAGUUCUGGAGCAGAGUACUGAAGAACAGGAAGAGCUCCAUUCGCGCCAAGGCUUCCCCAACGCAUGCCCGCUUCCCUGGCAAAGAAAAAGAAGGCACAGCUAACCAGUAACCCAAAAAUCUACACAGUGCGCAGGAAACCUAGGACUCAGCUCCAUUAGUCAAAAAAAUAACGUUUUGAAUGUGUUAUAAACAUGCAACACCAGAUGAUGGUGGAGAGCAAAAAUCCUUUUCUAUGCAAUUAAAUCAUAUAACAAUUUAA
Molecule: long non-coding RNA, 390 nt
Organism: Podarcis raffonei (Aeolian wall lizard)
Lineage: Eukaryota; Metazoa; Chordata; Lepidosauria; Squamata; Lacertidae
Exons: 2
Source: RefSeq, a predicted model, not a curated record